This 1062-nucleotide long non-coding RNA is filed under the name Lathyrus oleraceus (garden pea). RNAcentral describes it as "Pisum sativum (pea) long non-coding RNA (PSAT_LNC019487)". The record is from RNAcentral. Lineage: Eukaryota; Viridiplantae; Streptophyta; Magnoliopsida; Fabales; Fabaceae.
AUUCUUUCCUAUGAACAGGCAACUGAAUAUUUAGUGAUUUUCAAAAGACCAAAUGAACAGUAAAUCUUCACGUGAUUCUUGGAAGAAGAAGAAAAGUGCAUUAAAUAAUAUUGAAAAUAGAAUAAAUGUAAAUAAUGAGAAUUAAAAUCAGUAAACCUAUCACCAUUCACUUCCUUUCUUCUUUCACGCUCAAUCAUCCUUCUCUCUCUCACUUUCGAUCUCUUACCAUCUCGCCACUCUCGAUCGCUCUAUCUCACACCUCUCUCGCUCAUGUCAUCUCUCAAUCUCAACCUUAUUCACAAACUUUCACUCUACAUGCCAAAAAAACAAAAUGCUUUAAAGAGAUUCAAGCAGUAAAACUCACCUUCGGCGGUGGUCCGACGGUAAUGACGAUGCUUGGAUCUUCCUCCCGUCGCCGCUCAACUCUUCUAGCUUUAGGGUUUUCGCUCUCUGAAAACUUUAGGGUUUUUUUUGUGGCUGAUUGAAGUUAGGUUUUUCGUCGCCGCUCCUAAAAAACCCUCCUUUUUUCCUACAGCAUCCGCCUCUUUUUAUACCCAAUCAGUUAGGGUUUUCGAGCUAGCUAUGGAGAUUAAAAAGGGAAACCUCUUGGAAGUGCUUUUAGGUGCUCAGCUUUGCCUGUCUCGCUUGAUACUUAAAUCUGGAAACGGUAAUAUGAACUUAGCUUUCUUCCUCUAACUUUGUCUCAAUUCUCUUUUGGGUUAUUUUUUGAACUUUACAGCCUUUGCUAAUUACUUGGUUUUACUGUAGUAAAAAUUGGUGAAAAGAAACACUUCGGUUAUUUGCAAAGCUCAACUAUUGCUACUACCAUGAACUUCUAGGUGUGAAGAAGUGCUAGCUAUCAAGGAUGAAAAUCAGUUCCGUUAUAAGCUAAUGUUAAUGUUAAGUCUCAUUACAUUGUCUUACUUAACUGUUAGUGCAGAAUUUCUUAUUAAUUGGAAAUUUUGUUCAACUAUGAGGAAUUAUUCUUACUGUUAUGCUUAUUAAUCUCUGCAGGUUAGUAGGUGUUGCCGGUUGAAUGUGUUGUUGCUAAUGUGUUUGNNN